GUUUUUUCAUUUUUGUAGUAGGAAAGAUGGCGUCGAAAGGAUAGAACCGGUGGGACCGGUGGUAGAAAACGAGACUGACGGACGCGGACGCGUAUCGUUUCGUCCAAAGUUCCGUAGCCAAAUCUGCACAGAUGAAAACCCAAUGACCAGUACGGCGGCAUAAAAGGCUUACCAAUCACCCGAGAAUAUUGCUCGAUCACUUGCGAGGGUGACGGUCCCAUGAAGGAAUAAAAAUCGAAGAUGCCACCGAUGCUUCUAUACGUUAUAGCCGGAGUCGGUUGGAGAAUAACGUCUCUUUGUAAAUACUCCAGUCCUGCGGAUAAUAACAGUAAGGCACGUCUAGAGGAAGUUUGCGCAAUCUCUGGGAAUAUCUUCUCUUCGUGGGACUCCAACAACAACCUCUAUCCGUACACGACAGUUCGGAGGCACCAUC
Long non-coding RNA from Venturia canescens, 433 nucleotides. RefSeq lists it as uncharacterized. The transcript has 3 exons. NCBI's taxonomy places the organism in Eukaryota, Metazoa, Arthropoda, Insecta, Hymenoptera, Ichneumonidae. The record is from RefSeq and is a predicted model, not a curated record.